RNAcentral lists this unclassified non-coding RNA (2763 nucleotides) under Hevea brasiliensis (rubber tree). The record is from RNAcentral. Lineage: Eukaryota; Viridiplantae; Streptophyta; Magnoliopsida; Malpighiales; Euphorbiaceae.
UCUUCUUCUUCUUCUUCUUCUUGUGAUGAGUUAUUUUGCUCAUAUGAAUUUAGUAUUUUGCAGAAAUGCUAGUCACUUUGAAGGUAUAUCUUCUUUUUACUGCUGCAAUAGAGUACUGUCAUCUUAGUUGCAGAGAAGGGGAAAAAACAUAUGGAAGAUAGUGGAUUUCAUUUUUCUAGAAAUUAAAAUUUGCUUUAAUGAGUAAUUUCAUGCAUGAUGGCAGUGAUGCUACCAUUGUUGGGUUCUUUUGCAGAUAAUGUUAUUAUAAGACACAAGAUGUACUUAAAGAUAAUUUCAAAUUAAAAGCAAAAUGCUACUCCUAUGCACAUUGAAGGAAGUAUCAAAAUGAAGCAAAAGCUGGGAGAUUUAGUGUCAUGCCAUAUUAGCUAAUCCAUAGUCAAAAUCCUGUUUGAUAUUACGUCUAGGCCAACAUAAACUCCAUUUGGAGAUUAAAAACCUAACAUCUUCAUAACCCCAUGAUAAGUAUAGAUAUAUAUUUCAUGGAAGACAGGGUUGGAGUUGAAUGUAGGGAUCAAAGAUAGAAGCAACUUGCCUCUUGGAGUCAUUAUGGCGUUGGGCACAAGGUCAAGAUGUUGUCUACAAAAAUGUGAUGUUCUGUUAGAAUUCUGUUACUCUAAUAAAGCUAUAGUGUGGUCUUGAUAAUUAAUAUAUGGCCCUAGACAGGGAACUGGAUGGAGGAGGAGAUCCAAGGUGCUGAUCCCAAUUAGGUUGGUAACUUGGGAUUGAACUUAGUUUAAUUGUAGCAGUCUUGAUAGUGAAUAUCCUUGCUUUUCUGGGAUAACAUUCUAUCAGCUUUCAUUCUUAGAGACUCUUUUGACUAAAAGUCCUUGUGGUUGCUAUCCAGAAUUAUCAUACUAGCUUUUUCAUCAAAUAUUCAUUUUUGGAAGUAUAUGAAGUUUCAUCCUGUGGAGCCUACUUAUACAGAAUGUGAAAAGCCUGUGGCAGUUUGAUUACAAUAGACUUAAUUGAUUUGAGCAUUUGAAGUGGCUCUCUUAAUUUUCAAGGCAUGAGGGACGUUGUAAGUGCUUAGUACAAAGGGAUGUUUUAUAAUUUUGAAUAGUAAAGAAGUUUGGUAUGGACUGCUGAAGCAGCAGCAUUUCGUAAUUUAGAAUAGCUGGUUUUUAAGAGUGCGCCACUCUAUAGCUGUCCAGCUGUGUAAUCAGCAGUUUGGAGGCACUUUUAGCAACUCAUAAAUGCGUCUCCUCAAUCUAUGUACAUGCUCAAACUUUAAUUUUUGUAACCAAUAGGCUCAAUUUUUAAUUAGAUUUUGAUGAUAUAGGGGGAUUUUGGUUUUUAGCUGAACCGAAAAAUUCUGAGAUAUAUUUUCGUGGAUAUUUUUACAUUUUUUGGAAAUAAACAAAAGAUUUUUUUGUGCUAAAUUGAUAAACAAUUUUAUAAUUUUUAAAUGAUAUAAAAUUCAUUCUCUAUGUGUGUGACUAUAAUCAUUUAAUGGACUAUAAAUCAUGCUUGUUAGUUUUGAAAAUAAAAUUUUAAUGGUGCAAUAGGUCAAAAUAGAAGGUCAUGGAUAUAAUAGACUUUUUCUAAUUAGUUUAUGGGCUAAUUGUGUGUUGUGCAUGUGGCUAUUUUUGGAAGUCUUUGGUGAGAUGUUAUGCCAGAUGUAAGUCUGUUGAGAAUUGAGAUAUCUAUGAAUCCUAGAAAGUGCAAGCUGGGAAAAGCUAGUGCAAUGCUAGGCUCUCUAUCUUGUCAUCCAUCUAGUUUCUUAGAAGCACUACCUUGUAUAAUAUCUGAUUAGUUAGCAAGCUACCUCAUCUAGUUCUUCGUAUCAGCCCUUAAAGUACUCAAGUUCAUCAUAUUUAUGCUAAAAUUUGAUGAAAGUGCCAUUAGUGUGCUUAUACAACUUCUGCUGCUCCGAAAUCUUUUAGUUUUAGGGUCUAGUAAUUUUUAAUUUGAGAUCUUAUUUAAUGGGUAUAUGUAUUUUACUUUUGAGUUCAAUUUUUUUUUUCAAUAUUCCAAUUAAGAAGAUAAGGAACCAAAAGUCUAUAUUUCUUUCAAUUUGUUAGGCUUUCAACGAUGGAAUUUUGUGGUUUCAAUUUGGAGGCAUGCACACUUGUGAACAUGCUCACUAUAUGUCAGUUUCUUUUGUUCUUAUACAACUGUGCAAUUUGGAUGCAUAAAUACAUAUAAAUAUGUUCUCCCCUAUAUCAAUUUCUUUCCUUCUUAUUACUGAUUCUGCCCUUGUUCUUUUCCAAUUAAUCAGCUCUCCUGUAUACUGUUCAAAACUGUGAACUCGUGUAUUUUGUUCAAUAGUUCUUUAUCCCUUUAGAUCUUUUACUUGCCAUCUCAUUAAACCUGCAGUUAAUCUCUCAAUUCAUUUCCUUUCAUAGUACCAUAUCAAAACAAAAGUUUUGUGUUUUUCAUCAUUUGAAAUCCUAAAAUCAUCUUGUCUCACUGCAGGACACAUAGAGAUUUAUUAUCUACAAUUGCAUCUCUAAUAUGAUUUUAAAUAACGGCUGUUAUAUUAACGAUCAUUAUUUACAAGUUUUUGGAGGUACCAUUAUUGAUACCCCUUUAAAUAAUGGUGGAAAAAAAUUGUAAUGGCUAAUGGCCGUUAUGUAAUGUAACUACUGUUACCUGCUGUCACUUAACAGGUGACGGUCGUUGCCCACAUGGGCAGAUAGAGAUUCUUUUUAUUAGUGGUGCAAAGAGCUUAUAUUGUUUCUAGUUUCUACACUUUUCCAUUUGUUUCUCUCAAAUUUCCUAUCUUAAAUUUUCCAUCUUCAC